GGCGACGUAGCUCAGUUGGUGAGAGCGCUCGGCUCAUAAUCGAGAGGUCGUCGGUUCGAACCCGACCGUCGCCACCA
RNAcentral lists this transfer RNA (77 nucleotides) under Acidimicrobiia bacterium. RNAcentral describes it as "tRNA-Met". It matches the Rfam family "tRNA". From Rfam's summary of the family: Transfer RNA (tRNA) molecules are approximately 80 nucleotides in length. Their secondary structure includes four short double-helical elements and three loops (D, anti-codon, and T loops). The record is from RNAcentral. RNAcentral also lists the same sequence under 1 other name. Lineage: Bacteria; Bacillati; Actinomycetota; Acidimicrobiia.